GAUGAAGAACGCAGCGAAAUGCGAUAAGUAAUGUGAAUUGCAGAAUUCCGUGAAUCAUCGAAUCUUUGAACGCACAUUGCGCCCCCUGGCAUUCCGGGGGGCAUGCCUGUCCGAGCGUCAUUUCUGCCCUCCAGCCCGGCUGGGUGUUGGGCGCUGUCCCCCCGGGGACACGUCCCAAAGGCAGUGGCGGCGCCGCGUCGGGUCCUCGAGCGUAUGGGGCUUUGUCACCCGCUCGGGACGGACUCGUCGGCGCUGGUCUUCCUCCAGGCGACCCUUCGGGGCUCGUCUUCCUUCGGUUGACCUCGGAUCAGGUAGGGUUACCCGCUGAACUUAAGCAUAUCAAUAAGCGGAGGA
This 354-nucleotide unclassified non-coding RNA is filed under the name soil metagenome. RNAcentral describes it as "partial contains 5.8S ribosomal RNA, internal transcribed spacer 2, and large subunit ribosomal RNA". The stretch from base 1 to 120 matches the Rfam family "5.8S ribosomal RNA", at positions 35 to 154 of the family's 154-position model. The record is from RNAcentral.